RNAcentral lists this transfer RNA (72 nucleotides) under Ornithorhynchus anatinus (platypus). It matches the Rfam family "tRNA". Rfam says of the family: Transfer RNA (tRNA) molecules are approximately 80 nucleotides in length. Their secondary structure includes four short double-helical elements and three loops (D, anti-codon, and T loops). Lineage: Eukaryota; Metazoa; Chordata; Mammalia; Monotremata; Ornithorhynchidae. The record is from Rfam by way of RNAcentral.
AGCAGCGUGGCUUAUUGGAAAGAGCACAGGUCUCAGAAUCAGAGGACCUGGGUUCUAAUCCCAGCUCUGCCG